Molecule: non-coding RNA, 28 nt
Filed under: Rattus norvegicus (Norway rat)
Lineage: Eukaryota; Metazoa; Chordata; Mammalia; Rodentia; Muridae
Source: RNAcentral
CAGAGAGAAGGUUUAUUUUCAAUGUGCA